AAUGAGGCGAACCGGGGGAACUGAAACAUCUAAGUACCCCGAGGAAAAGAAAUCAACCGAGAUUCCCCCAGUAGCGGCGAGCGAACGGGGAGCAGCCCAGAGCCUGAAUCAGUGUGUGUGUUAGUGGAAGCGUCUGGAAAGGCGCGCGAUACAGGGUGACAGCCCCGUACACAAAAAUGCACAUGCUGUGAGCUCGAUGAGUAGGGCGGGACACGUGGUAUCCUGUCUGAAUAUGGGGGGACCAUCCUCCAAGGCUAAAUACUCCUGACUGACCGAUAGUGAACCAGUACCGUGAGGGAAAGGCGAAAAGAACCCCGGCGAGGGGAGUGAAAAAGAACCUGAAACCGUGU
This 350-nucleotide ribosomal RNA is filed under the name Escherichia coli. Its description in RNAcentral is "partial 23S ribosomal RNA". It matches the Rfam family "Bacterial large subunit ribosomal RNA", at positions 173 to 561 of the family's 2925-position model. The record is from RNAcentral. Lineage: Bacteria; Pseudomonadati; Pseudomonadota; Gammaproteobacteria; Enterobacterales; Enterobacteriaceae.